Molecule: ribosomal RNA, 206 nt
Filed under: uncultured bacterium
Lineage: Bacteria
Description: partial 16S ribosomal RNA
Rfam family: Bacterial small subunit ribosomal RNA
Source: RNAcentral
CACGUAGGCGGGUAUUUAAGUCAGGGGUGAAAUCCCAGAGCUCAACUCUGGAACUGCCUUUGAUACUGGGUACCUAGAGUAUGGAAGAGGUAAGUGGAAUUCCGAGUGUAGAGGUGAAAUUCGUAGAUAUUCGGAGGAACACCAGUGGCGAAGGCGGCUUACUGGUCCAUUAUUGACGCUGAGAUGCGAAAGCGUGGGAGCAAACA